Molecule: ribosomal RNA, 403 nt
Filed under: uncultured bacterium
Lineage: Bacteria
Description: bacterial SSU rRNA
Rfam family: Bacterial small subunit ribosomal RNA
Source: RNAcentral
AAUGAACGCUGGCGGCGCGCCUAAUACAUGCAAGUCGAGCGAGAAGACGUAGCAAUACGUUUGUAAAGCGGCGAACGGGUGAGGAAUACAUGGGUAACCUACCCUCGAGUGGGGAAUAACUAGCCGAAAGGUUAGCUAAUACCGCGUACGCUCCUUGGACUUCGGUUCAGGGAGGAAAGCGAUACCGUGGGUAUCGCGCCCUUGGUUGGGCUCAUGUCCUAUCAGCUUGUUGGUGAGGUAACGGCUCACCAAGGCUUCGACGGGUAGCUGGUCUGAGAGGACGAUCAGCCACACUGGCACUGCGACACGGGCCAGACUCCUACGGGAGGCAGCAGUAAGGAAUAUUGCGCAAUGGGCGAAAGCCUGACGCAGCGACGCCGCGUGGGGGAGUGAAGGUCUUCGG